AACACGUGGGGAACCUGCCCCAUAGUCUGGGAUACCACUUGGAAACAGGUGCUAAUACCGGAUAAGAAAGCGGAUCGCAUGAUCAGCUUUUAAAAGGCGGCGUAAGCUGUCGCUAUUGGAUGGCCCCGCGGUGCAUUAGCUAGUUGGUAAGGUAAAGGCUUACCAAGGCGAUGAUGCAUAGCCGAGUUGAGAGACUGAUCGGCCACAUUGGGACUGAGACACGGCCCAAACUCCUACGGGAGGCAGCAGUA
This 251-nucleotide ribosomal RNA is filed under the name uncultured Lactobacillus sp. Its description in RNAcentral is "partial 16S ribosomal RNA". It matches the Rfam family "Bacterial small subunit ribosomal RNA", at positions 112 to 355 of the family's 1533-position model. The record is from RNAcentral. Lineage: Bacteria; Bacillati; Bacillota; Bacilli; Lactobacillales; Lactobacillaceae.